GGGGAAGGAUGAGUGGUUGGGGAUUCUGUUCUUGUGGAGUUUUCUUUCUGAGCCUAGAAUUCUGGAUAUGGGGACCCAUCAGCACUUGUGUUGCUAUCAUCCGGAUAAUUUAACAUGCUAAAGCAAGGCUAAUGCUGCAAAUCAGGUGUGAGGCAUUUUGUUAGGCUGUGUCCUUGCCCAGGGAAAUUCAGCUGGAGGUUUUGCUGCAGACUGGGACUUCACCUGUAGGAUGCAUGAAGAUAGGGCACUGAGAUGCCCGAUUGCACCGACUGCCUUCAGAUACAACAGGACUCCAAGUCACCUCAUUGCAUUCCUUUUCAUGGUUUCAUUGCUGCUUUCGUAUUGUCAGAUGGGAAAGUAAUAUGAAUGAAGUGUAAAUUCAAGUCUUUAAUUGACUCUUGAAGAAGCCUAUAGAACAGUUGUGCCCCAGUUGUUUUUUCUCAGGCUAGCACCGAUAGUAUGGGGGCAAUGCAGGACUGGCCAACUCAAUCUGGCUGCUGAGUCAUUCAGCCACUUCUAACAGUUCAUAAUAAUGGUUGUUGCCUGGAGGGAAUUUUAAAAUGAGAAGCCUGAAUUGUGCCGAUGCUAACAGGUAAUAAAUGUUGUGAAUAAGGUCAUUAAGAGAGUAUUUACCUUACUAAAUGAUUUGUAGGUUUUUGUGUACUCUGGAUGAUGUCGAUUUCCUGCAUAAAAUCUAAAGCAUUGUAUCUAUGGAACCACAACGUGACAGUUUUACAGUCAUUCUGAGGAGCGGAACGCUUUCUGCCAAUGUUCACUGUUUCCCAGUCCCGUGACAACACAAUCCCGGCAGUCGUGAGAGCACACUCGGUGCUUCUCUCUCGAAGUGGCGAUCUGUCUUCUCCAGAGGGGCUGCAAAAAGCCCACGGCUCGUCGGGACCCUGGGCCGGACGCACCAGCUGCACUUGCGGCGGCGGCUCGGCAGAGGGAGACGUCUGUGUGCCUGGGCCCGCCAGAGCGGGAGCGCCGCUGUGGCUGCGGGUUCCCGCGCGGGCAGCUCUGCUCAGCUGCUCCCGGAGCCUCCCGCCCCGCCGCCUCCCUCACGGCAGGGCCGGGUCCGCGGCUCUCCGGGCGCCUUCCUGCGAGGUGGGGGGAUACGGCCAGACCCGUGAC
This 1131-nucleotide long non-coding RNA is filed under the name Gallus gallus (chicken). RNAcentral's name for it is "lncRNA (ENSGALG00010006743.1)". Lineage: Eukaryota; Metazoa; Chordata; Aves; Galliformes; Phasianidae. The record is from RNAcentral.